This 507-nucleotide ribosomal RNA is filed under the name uncultured bacterium. RNAcentral describes it as "partial 16S ribosomal RNA". The record is from RNAcentral.
GGAGUUAGCCGGUGCUUCUUCUGUGAGUGAUGUCCUUCCUGCCGGCUAUUAACCCGCAGGCCUUCUUCCUCACUGAAAGUGCUUUACAACCCGAAGGCCUUCUUCACACACGCGGCAUGGCUGGAUCAGGGUUGCCCCCAUUGUCCAAUAUUCCCCACUGCUGCCUCCCGUAGGAGUCUGGGCCGUGUCUCAGUCCCAGUGUGGCUGAUCAUCCUCUCAGACCAGCUACGGAUCGUCGCCUUGGUGAGCCGUUACCUCACCAACCAGCUAAUCCGACAUAGGCUCAUCCGAUAGCGCGAGGCCCGAAGGUCCCCCGCUUUCCCCCGUAGGGCGUAUGCGGUAUUAGCCUGGGUUUCCCCAGGUUAUCCCCCACUACCGGGCAGAUUCCUAUGCAUUACUCACCCGUCCGCCGCUCGCCACCAGGGAGCAAGCUCCCCGUGCUGCCGCUCGACUUGCAUGUGUUAGUCCUGCCGCCAGCGUUCAAUCUGAGCCAUGAUCAAACUCUGA